ACGCUGGCGGCGUGCCUAACACAUGCAAGUCGAACGGACGAGGGGAGCUUGCUCCCCAAGUUAGUGGCGGACGGGUGAGUAACACGUGAGCAACCUGCCCUUCGGAGGGGGACAACAGUUGGAAACGACUGCUAAUACCGCAUAAUGUAUUUUUGGAGGCAUCUCCGGGAUACCAAAGAUUUUAUCGCCGAAGGAUGGGCUCGCGUCUGAUUAGAUAGUUGGCGGGGUAACGGCCCACCAAGUCUGCGAUCAGUAGCCGGACUGAGAGGUUGAACGGCCACAUUGGGACUGAGAUACGGCCCAGACUCCUACGGGAGGCAGCAGUGGGGAAUAUUGGGCAAUGGGGGGCAACCCUGACCCAGCAACGCCGCGUGGAGGAAGAAGGCUUUCGGGUUGUAAACUCCUUUGACGAGGGACGAUCAUGACGGUACCUCGAAGACAAGCCACGGCUAACUACGUGCCAGCCGCGGC
Molecule: ribosomal RNA, 471 nt
Filed under: uncultured bacterium
Lineage: Bacteria
Description: bacterial SSU rRNA
Rfam family: Bacterial small subunit ribosomal RNA
Source: RNAcentral